GUACUUGCUUCGGUAGCACGUAUACUAAAAUUGGAACAAUAUAGAGAAGGUUAGCAUAGCCCCUGCGCAAGGAUGACAUGCAAAUUCGUGAAGUAUUCCAUAUUUUU
Molecule: small nuclear RNA, 107 nt
Organism: Loxodonta africana (African savanna elephant)
Lineage: Eukaryota; Metazoa; Chordata; Mammalia; Proboscidea; Elephantidae
Source: Ensembl